CCUACGGGAGGCAGCAGUGGGGAAUAUUGGACAAUGGGCGAAAGCCUGAUCCAGCAAUGCCGCGUGAGUGAUGAAGGCCUUCGGGUCGUAAAGCUCUUUUACCAGGGAUGAUAAUGACAGUACCUGGAGAAUAAGCUCCGGCUAACUCCGUGCCAGCAGCCGCGGUAAUACGGAGGGAGCUAGCGUUGUUCGGAAUUACUGGGCGUAAAGAGUACGUAGGCGGUUAUUCAAGUCAGAGGUGAAAGCCCGGGGCUCAACCCCGGAACUGCCUUUGAAACUAGAUAACUAGAGUCUUGGAGAGGUUAGUGGAAUUCCGAGUGUAGAGGUGAAAUUCGUAGAUAUUCGGAAGAACACCAGUGGCGAAGGCGACUAACUGGACAAGUACUGACGCUGAGGUACGAAAGCGUGGGGAGCAAACAGGAUUAGAUACCCUGGUAGUCCACGCCGUAAACGAUGAUAACUAGUUGUUCGGUCACUUGGUGACUGAGUGACGCAGCUAACGCAUUAAGUUAUCCGCCUGGGGAGUACGGUCGCAAGNUUAAAACUCAAAGGAAUUGACGG
This 561-nucleotide ribosomal RNA is filed under the name uncultured bacterium. RNAcentral's name for it is "bacterial SSU rRNA". It matches the Rfam family "Bacterial small subunit ribosomal RNA", at positions 338 to 916 of the family's 1533-position model. The record is from RNAcentral.